GACGAACGCUGGCGGCGUGCUUAACACAUGCAAGUCGAACGGUGAAGCGCCUUCCUUUUUGGUGGGUGUGGAUGAGUGGCGAACGGGUGAGUAACACGUGAGUAACCUGCCCCCUUCUUCUGGAUAACCGCAUGAAAGUGUGGCUAAUACGGGAUAUUCUGGGUCUGUCGCAUGAUGGGUCUGGGAAAGAUAUUGUUUCGGUGGGGGAUGGGCUCGCGGCCUAUCAGCUUGUUGGUGGGGUGAUGGCCUACCAAGGCGGUGACGGGUAGCCGGCCUGAGAGGGUGGGCGGGCAGACGGGGAGGGAGCCGCGGCCCAGGCGCCAGGGGGGGGAAGCGGGGGGGAGUAGGGGAAGGUGGGGGAGGGGGUGUGACCGCGUGGCGCCGGGGGGGAUGGCGCCCCUGGGGUUGGGAGCGUCUGGCGACAGUGAAGUAAGCCGCCCUGGUUUGUGGGGGGGUAGACGGUGGGGGGAUAGGAAGCGCGGGCUAACUACGUG
This 494-nucleotide ribosomal RNA is filed under the name uncultured bacterium. RNAcentral's name for it is "partial 16S ribosomal RNA". The stretch from base 20 to 341 matches the Rfam family "Bacterial small subunit ribosomal RNA", at positions 47 to 358 of the family's 1533-position model. The record is from RNAcentral.